AUUGAACGCUGGCGGAAUGCUUUACACAUGCAAGUCAAGCGGCAGCGCGGGGGCAACCCUGGCGGCGAGCGGCGAACGGGUGAGUAACAUAUCGGAACGUACCCAGUCGUGGGGGGAUAACUAUCCGAAAGGAUAGCUAAUACCGCAUACGUCCUGAGGGAGAAAGCGGGGGAUCGCAAGACCUCGCGCGAUUGGAGCGGCCGAUAUCGGAUUAGCUAGUUGGUGGGGUAAAGGCUCACCAAGGCGACGAUCCGUAGCGGGUCUGAGAGGACGACCCGCCACACUGGAACUGAGACACGGUCCAGACUCCUACGGGAGGCAGCAGUGGGGAAUUUUGGACAAUGGGCGCAAGCCUGAUCCAGCCAUGCCGCGUGAGUGAAGAAGGCC
This 387-nucleotide ribosomal RNA is filed under the name uncultured bacterium. RNAcentral describes it as "bacterial SSU rRNA". It matches the Rfam family "Bacterial small subunit ribosomal RNA", at positions 29 to 416 of the family's 1533-position model. The record is from RNAcentral.